Hyla sarda is the source of this 655-nucleotide long non-coding RNA. RefSeq lists it as uncharacterized. The record is from RefSeq and is a predicted model, not a curated record. NCBI's taxonomy places the organism in Eukaryota, Metazoa, Chordata, Amphibia, Anura, Hylidae. The transcript is spliced from 4 exons.
UGAUAGGGCCGGAUAUACGUUGUCCGUGUCUUCCCUCUGUCUGUACUGCAAUCUUCAGAUGACCCUGAGCAAGCCAUUGCAUUUCACGGCUGGAGAGAUCAGAUUCAGAAAGUGUUGUAACCAAGGAAACAAGAAUGUGCCCCAAACGCAGAAGAUGUAAUGAUGAGCGAGGGACAGACCUCCAUAUACCACAGAUCUGGUUAAAACAAUAUGUAGUUAAUGAGAAUGAAGCAAGAUUUUCCAUUUUGCAAGACAAAGAGCAUUUAAAAAGAAAAAGAACUCUACUGAUCUCUGCUGGCGUUCCCAUCGCAUCACUUUCCUGGAUCCUGGGUGGUCUCUGUAUAGUCAAUCUUCAGCAAUGAUGCAUCAUCACAUACAACCACUGUGAUUGGCUGUGGCAGUAAUAUGUUGAUAAGUCAUCACUGUAGUGUACAGAGGCCAGCAGGGGCCAAAGAAGCAUUGCCAUGAAAGCACAGGGGGAAAGAAGGAGGGGGAGGAAGAGCUGAAUAAAAAACAGGAAAAUAAAGUUAACACUGAAAAAAAAGGGUUACACAAGUUGGCAAGAAAAAGACAGUACAUAGUUCAAGAGAGAGGCAUAGAGCAAAAUGGAAUGUAGGAAAUUAUAACAGAAUGAUGGAGCUAAAAGUACAGAGCA